UCUUGGCGGCGAGUGGCGGACGGGUGAGUAAUAUAUCGGAACGUGCCCAGUAGCGGGGGAUAACUACUCGAAAGAGUGGCUAAUACCGCAUACGCCCUACGGGGGAAAGGGGGGGAUCGCAAGACCUCUCACUAUUGGAGCGGCCGAUAUCGGAUUAGCUAGUUGGUGGGGUAAAGGCUCACCAAGGCAACGAUCCGUAGCUGGUUUGAGAGGACGACCAGCCACACUGGGACUGAGACACGGCCCAGACUCCUACGGGAGGCAGCAGUGGGGAAUUUUGGACAAUGGGGGAAACCCUGAUCCAGCCAUCCCGCGUGUAUGAUGAAGGCCUUCGGGUUGUAAAGUACUUUUGGCAGAGAAGAAAAGGUAUCCCCUAAUACGGGAUACUGCUGACGGUAUCUGCAGAAUAAGCACCGGCUAACUACGUGCCAGCAGCCGCGGUAAUACGUAGGGUGCAAGCGUUAAUCGGAAUUACUGGGCGUAAAGCGUGUGUAGGCGGUUCGGAAAGAAAGAUGUGAAAUCCCAGGGCUCAACCUUGGAACUGCAUUUUUAACUGCCGAGCUAGAGUAUGUCAGAGGCGGGUAGAAUUCCACGUGUAGCAGUGAAAUGCGUAGAUAUGCGGAGGAAUACCGAUGGCGAAGGCAGCCCCCUGGGAUAAUACUGACGCUCAGACACGAAAGCUGGGGAGCAAACAGGAUUAGAUACCCUGGUAGUCCACGCCCUAAACGAUGUCAACUAGCUGUUGGGCCCUUAAGGCCUUAGUAGCGCAGCUAACGCGUGAAGUUGACCGCCUGGGGAGUACGUCGCAAG
This 810-nucleotide ribosomal RNA is filed under the name uncultured beta proteobacterium. RNAcentral's name for it is "bacterial SSU rRNA". It matches the Rfam family "Bacterial small subunit ribosomal RNA", at positions 83 to 892 of the family's 1533-position model. Lineage: Bacteria; Pseudomonadati; Pseudomonadota; Betaproteobacteria. The record is from RNAcentral.